GGGAUUCCAGGUGCUGAACGAAGCAGAGGAGAAGCCCUGACUUACAUUUCAGCAGGGGAACUUCACCCAACAGGGAAUUGUUUCUCCACUGGUUUAUGAUCAUCUGUCUCUCCUGCCAGAAGUUGUGUCUUCCAGAGGCCAGCCAAAGCAAAAGCAGUGAUCCUGGCAUCUCCCUACCUUCUAUAGCAGUGGCAAGAUUCCAGGCCAAUCCAUGGACACUGAUCCCCAGGACUUUCAUUCAACUUGAAACGGAGAAAUUCAGCAGCAAGAAAUGACAAGGCCAAUGACAAAGCCAAGGCUUCCUCGAUACCCACCUGCAGGAGGCGAGCAGAGAGCCAACUCUUCCCUUUUUCUGGGUUUUCAAGCCCUUCGAGAUAGGAAUUGCUAUUAUCCCCAUUUUACGGAGUUAGGCAAGUCCCCCAAAGUCACAGAGCUGACGAGCGGUGGAGCUGGGAUUUGAACCGAGGCAUCUGCCUGCCGUAUCUGCCUGGUCUCGAAUGGCACCCGACCCAGGCCAAUGUCGUUGAUGAAUCCACUGAGGGUGACCCCACUCAGGCAUGGGAGCGUGCAAGGCCACUCAAGAGUCCAACGACCCCAGCCCUGCACUUCCUCUGCACCAUCUGCCUAAAGGAUGCGAAGAGCUGCUGCUAAUGACUACUGACACAACUCACCCCCCAGCUGGGAAUGCGGCCCAGGCCACUCCUCACAGAUGGAUGGACUGACGGCCAGAAGACCAGGACACCAGAGGUUCUUCAUGCAAGCGGUGCUUUCCCACUCUCCCAUAGCCCAUCGCCACAGGGGACUGGGUUGCAGCUCAGAGCAAGUGAGAAGCUGUGUGUGCCCUGCCACCCGGGAAGAAGUCACCAAGCCAGCCGGUGGAGCUGGAUGUUUUCCUUCCUGCCUUUUCAGUCUCCCUAUGAUCUCCAGCUCUCUUCUGUGGCCUUCUGAAAUAGCCAUUAAUUAGAGCCUGGUAAUUAACUUUCUGGCUCAAGUAAUAUUUUGCAAAGGAAUUCCAUUAAAGAGUCAAUUUGCAUAUUCUCAGACAUGGGGCCUGGAAACAGUCAGGGUUACUUGGGAGAAGGCAAUAGACCCCAUGGCACCCCUCGGGCCUGGCACCCCAGGCCUGGGCUCCACUGGCACCUAAAGGCACGAGGGGAUUAAGAGGGCUGCUGUCCUGAGGGCCCGGGUAUAUGCUGAGCCAUGGGAGGGUCUCCCGAAGAAGGUGGGCAGUUUGUUCACAAAACUGGACAGCUCAGUGGCCACAAACCCAAACAGAAACUGUUCACAAGCACAUAGAUGUGCACAUGUGAGAUCUCAAACACAGAACAUACUACACCCGAGGCACAAGAGGGUGUAUGUAAACACACACACACACUGGUAGACACGUACAUAUAAGAAAACAGAUACAAUGAUAAUCAUGGUUGCCAACACUUAUUGAGCAGUUAGUAGGUUGAACCAUAUGUGCAUAUUUGACCUACAAAAAUAGCCACUUCAUAUGGUCCAAUCCAAUAUGAAGUACCAAGCACUGUUCCAAAUGCUAGGCAUAUGAUUAUCAUUUCAAUGCACAGACAUGGACAAGGACAUUUACAUAUAACACACUCACACACCUUCAUGAGGGCAGGUGCAUACUUGCAAGACAUAUGAAAACGUGCACGUACAGGCACACACACGACCACAGACGCCUGUACGAAAAAAGGCUUCUCCAGCCUUUGAAACCCCAGCCUGGGGCUGAUCACAUUCUCACUAGCUAAUUUCCACUGUUCCUAAAAAUAUUGCCCAGCUCAGAUCUCUGGAAGAUACAUGAGGGAGCCGCAGAUCUAAAAGGAGGGUGAUAAAAAUGAGAAAGCAAAAAAUAAAUU
This is a long non-coding RNA of Equus quagga, 1859 nucleotides long. RefSeq lists it as uncharacterized. NCBI's taxonomy places the organism in Eukaryota, Metazoa, Chordata, Mammalia, Perissodactyla, Equidae. The record is from RefSeq and is a predicted model, not a curated record. The transcript is spliced from 5 exons.